UAGGGAAUCUUCGGCAAUGGACGAAAGUCUGACCGAGCAACGCCGCGUGAGUGAAGAAGGUUUUCGGAUCGUAAAACUCUGUUGUUAGAGAAGAACAAGGACGUUAGUAACUGAACGUCCCCUGACGGUAUCUAACCAGAAAGCCACGGCUAACUACGUGCCAGCAGCCGCGGUAAUACGUAGGUGGCAAGCGUUGUCCGGAUUUAUUGGGCGUAAAGCGAGCGCAGGCGGUUUCUUAAGUCUGAUGUGAAAGCCCCCGGCUCAACCGGGGAGGGUCAUUGGAAACUGGGGGACUUGAGUGCAGAAGAGGGGAGUGGAAUUCCAUGUGUAGCGGUGAAAUGCGUAGAUAUAUGGGGGAACACCAGUGGCGAAGGCGGCUCUCUGGUCUGUAACUGACGAUGCGGCUAGAAAGCGUGGGGAGCAAACAGG
RNAcentral lists this ribosomal RNA (429 nucleotides) under Gemmatimonadota bacterium. Its description in RNAcentral is "Gemmatimonadetes bacterium partial 16S ribosomal RNA". It matches the Rfam family "Bacterial small subunit ribosomal RNA", at positions 355 to 776 of the family's 1533-position model. The record is from RNAcentral. Lineage: Bacteria; Pseudomonadati; Gemmatimonadota.